This 1396-nucleotide ribosomal RNA is filed under the name Occidozyga baluensis. RNAcentral describes it as "partial 16S large subunit ribosomal RNA". It matches the Rfam family "Bacterial large subunit ribosomal RNA", at positions 150 to 2595 of the family's 2925-position model. Lineage: Eukaryota; Metazoa; Chordata; Amphibia; Anura; Dicroglossidae. The record is from RNAcentral.
GCCAAACAUCUAGCCUAUUUGCCUACAAUCCACACACUAACUCCCCCCCCCCCCCGCAUAAAACAUUUUAUAGUUUGAGUAAAGGCGAUUGAAAAAUAAUCAGAGCUUCAACCCCAGUACCGCAAGGGAAAGCUGAAAUAUAAAUGAAAUAAGCUUAAGCAUAAAAUAGUAAAGACUUUGACUUGUACCUUUUGCAUCAUGGUCUAGCAAGUCCAAAUCAAGCAUAGCGAACCCCCAGUUUGACCCCCCGAAACUAGGCGAGCUACUUCAAAACAGCCUUAAGGGCCAACCCGUCUCUGUUGCAAAAGAGUGGGAAGAUUUUCAAGUAGUAGUGACAAGCCCACCGAGCCUAGAGAUAGCUGGUUAUUCAAGAAAAGAAUUUUAGUUCUACCUUAAGCUCAACAUGAUUACAAACAGCCCACCAAGCUUAAGAGCUAUUCAAAUAAGGCACAGCUUAUUUGAAAGAGGCUACAACCUAAACUUUAGGGUAAGUCCUAUAACCUAACCAAGUUGGCCUAAAAGCAGCCACCUUUUAAAAAGCGUUACAGCUUAACUUCUAUUGCCGCUAACCCCACCACCCCUCACGAACCCCACACCAGUAUUGAAUGACUCCAUAACCUAUGGAGGCCACCAUGCUAGAACUAGUAACAAGAACAUGAGAUUCUCCAAAAUGUAACCAUAAGCUAAAAUGGACCGCCCAUUAGCACUUAACGAUACUGAACCCUAUAUAGUAACCCCACUAGAAAACUCUAUUACAAGCCUCGUUAACCUAACACAAGAACACUACUGGAAAGAUUAAAAGGAGAAGAAGGAACUCGGCAAAUUUCAACCCCGCCUGUUUACCAAAAACAUCGCCUCUUGCAAAGAUAUGAGAGGUCUAGCCUGCCCACUGAUUUAUUUAACGGCCGCGUGAUUUUAAACGCGCGAAGGUAGCAUAAUCACUUGUUCUCUAAAUAAGGACUCGUAUCAACGGCACCACGAGGGUUGUACUGUCUCCUCCCCCCAAUCAGUGAAACUAAUCUCCCUGUGAAAAAGCAGGGAUGACUCUAUAAGACGAGAAGACCCCAUGGAGCUUAAAACCUGCAACAACUUCCCCCGCACAAACCACAUAACCUUAAGCCCUGUUCACUGGUUUUGGGUUGGGGUGACCGCGGAGUAAAACAAAACCUCCAUAACAAAAGGCACUUAGCCCUUAUCCAAGAACAACAGUUCUAAGAAUCAACACCCUGAUGUCACGACCCGACAAUCGAUCAAUGAACCAAGUUACCCUGGGGAUAACAGCGCAAUCUACCCCAAGAGCCCCUAUCGACAGGUGGGUUUACGACCUCGAUGUUGGAUCAGGAUACCCCGGCGGUGCAGCCGCUGCCAAAGGUUUGUUUGUUCAACAAUUAAAAUC